UUAGCAGGCUUUGUGUGUAUCAGUAUUAUGUAAACCAUACAUUGAUACUGAAAGAAUGGCCUGCAACAUUGAAAAGAGAAGGUGGGCAGUCAACCUUCAAGUGUUACUAGAAGGUACCGACAAUCACCUUCCCAAUAUAU
Molecule: small nucleolar RNA, 140 nt
Organism: Nymphaea colorata (pocket water lily)
Lineage: Eukaryota; Viridiplantae; Streptophyta; Magnoliopsida; Nymphaeales; Nymphaeaceae
Product: small nucleolar RNA snoR135
Exons: 1
Source: RefSeq, a predicted model, not a curated record